RNAcentral lists this transfer RNA (95 nucleotides) under Bacteriophage sp. RNAcentral's name for it is "tRNA-OTHER". The record is from RNAcentral.
GGACGGUGCAACACUUGGUAAGUUGCCUAGUGACAAUGUGUUACAACAUUUGUCUGGUCAGCACUAGAUUAUAGGUUCAAGUCCUAUACCGUCCA